Molecule: ribosomal RNA, 429 nt
Filed under: Bacteroidota bacterium
Lineage: Bacteria; Pseudomonadati; Bacteroidota
Description: Bacteroidetes bacterium partial 16S ribosomal RNA
Rfam family: Bacterial small subunit ribosomal RNA
Source: RNAcentral
UAGGGAAUCUUCGGCAAUGGGGGGAACCCUGACCGAGCAACGCCGCGUGAGUGAAGAAGGUUUUCGGAUCGUAAAGCUCUGUUGUUAAGGAAGAACGAGUGUGAGAAUGGAAAGUUCAUACUGUGACGGUACUUAACCAGAAAGGGACGACUAACUACGUGCCAGCAGCCGCGGUAAUACGUAGGUCCCGAGCGUUGUCCGGAUUUAUUGGGCGUAAAGCGAGCGCAGGCGGUUAGAUAAGUCUGAAGUGAAAGGCAGUGGCUCAACCAUUGUAGGCUUUGGAAACUGUUUAACUUGAGUGCAGAAGGGGAGAGUGGAAUUCCAUGUGUAGCGGUGAAAUGCGUAGAUAUAUGGAGGAACACCGGUGGCGAAAGCGGCUCUCUGGUCUGUAACUGACGCUGAGGCUCGAAAGCGUGGGGAGCGAACAGG